RNA transcript from Dermochelys coriacea (leatherback sea turtle), 3140 nucleotides. It is a transcript of the gene named gap junction protein alpha 8, with no coding region annotated. The record is from RefSeq and is a predicted model, not a curated record. The transcript has 3 exons. Lineage: Eukaryota; Metazoa; Chordata; Testudines; Dermochelyidae.
UGUGGCCUUAUCCUGCUUCCUUUGAACACAAUGGUGAAACUCAUCACUAACUUCAAUGAUGCAGGAACAGGUGCCUGAGAGACUGAUCCUGAAAGGCACUGAGCCAGCACAGUUUCAAAAUUCUCACACUCCCAACCUCUGAGCAGCUCAAAAAGCAGAGAUUUAAAAUUCCUCUGCUCUCUAAAGUCUCGGACAAUAUUCAGUCCUGGAUCAGUGACAGGUUUAAGAUGUGAUCCGGUGUCUUUUGUCAUAAUCCGCUAGGGCUAGAGUUACCUGCUACGUCUCAUAAGAGAGCUGUGUGAUUGCAUGAUCUCUGGAAGAUCCCAAGAUACUGGCUCUCAAAACUGCAACAGCCUGAUAUACAGAAAAGAGUGCUGCCAUCCGGAGGAGACUUGUGCUGGCACCUGCUUCAUGAGGCCACCUGCUCCUCUGCUAGCUGUGGCACUGGAGGGCUUCCUGGCUCCAGAGCAUAAGCCUCGGAGGAAAGAUGGUGCCAGAAGUGUACAAAAACAAUGCCAGUGGAGAAACCUUUGGAUGGGAACAGAGACUGGAUGAAGUCCAUGAACAGGGAGCCCCUGGGAGAGCACAGCGGUGACACUAGGAAUGGGAAGAUGGUGGAGCCAUGAGCCUUAGCAGCUGAAGGCAAGGAAGAAGGCCUAGGUGAAGGAACAUCAGCCCCCUGGAGGACAGACUUUCCUCAUGGGGGACAAAUGUCAGGAGAAAUUAAGUGAGCGGUAGCUACCGACAUAUUUUAGGACAAUGGAGAUUUUGUGGAAGAACAAAGAAAUACCCUGACAUUGGGACAAGCCUACAACCAGCUGGCCCAGGUCAAUGGUACAGUGGCAGAUCCUUGAUUCCUGAAACAAUGGCCACAUUUUGAGCUAAAGGGAGAGAAAAUGUCUAGAGUGGAGAAGGACCACCAGACAUGGGAGGUUAAAAUGCAACCUCUUAUCUCAAAGAAGUAAUGCAGGGAAAUACUAUGCCUGGCACACUCCAAACCCUAUGGGGGACACCUUGAUCAAGAGACAACAUUUAACCAAGUGUCACUUUAUUCUUAGUGGGGAGGUGUCCACCGGGAGGUAUGAGAGUAGUGCACCUCCUGCCCAGAACUCCAGUGGGUGAGUGAAAGGAAGCUACCCCAGAACCGGUUGAUACUCCUGCCUGUGAUAGGGACCCCAGCUGAGAGCAUUGGCAUGGACAUGGUGGGUCUCUUGGAAAAGAGUGCUGCUGGGUUCCAUCACAUGAGAGUCAUAUUAGACUAUGGCACAUGGUACCCCAAAGUGAUUCUGCUCUGCUCCACAGAGCUUAUAAAAGUGUUUGCCUGGGUGGGGAUCCCUUGGGAAACAAUCCCAGAUCAGGGCACCAACUUUAUAUCCAAACUUAUGCAAGCCUAAACUGUGUAGCCUGUUGAAGAUAAAAGCCUUAAGCCUGUCGGUGUCUGACAGGCUGGUAUAGAGAUUUAAUAAGACCUUGAAAAGUAUGCUGCAGAAGUUCAUAGCCUUGGAACCUUGCCAGCGGGGCCAAUUACUUCUGUCACUCCUGUUCAAUGUCCAUGAAAUCUCUCAGGCAUUGACAGGGUUCUCCCUGUUUGAAUUAGUACAUGGGAGACAGCUGAGGGAAAUACUAGAACUCCUUCAGGAGACAUGGGAGGAAUGUUGUUAUAAGGCCACAAACUCGGUACAGUAUCUGCUACUACUGAGAGAGAAGUUAAAGACCUUAGAUGAGUUUGCGAGAGAAGUCAAGGUGCAACAGGGACAAGCACAAGCAUACAACAAGGGUACCCAUGUCCAGGAGUUCCAACCACAGGCCCGGAUGCUGCUACUUCUUCCCACCUCAGAAUCCAAAGUGUUGAUCAGAUGGCUAGGAACCUUUGAAAUAAUCAGACAAAUUGGAGCUGUAAACUAUGAGGCAAGAGAACAGAUACUAAGGUGUAUUAUGUCAACCUGCUAAAUGUCUAGAAAGAUUGAGAAGGGCUCCUGGUAAGGCUGUUUCCCCCAGAACUGCAACUCGCAGUUUCUAACCCCCAGCUCCAACCAUGUCCCGGUGGGAGAAGAGCUGAAGGUGGAACAAAAGCAGCAGAUCCAAAAAUUCGCCUAGUCUUUUCCACAGUUCCUGGACAGACUCCCCCAGUGUUCCAUCACAUAGAGAACAAACCAGGGAAAAAGAUGAGAGAGAACUUUUGGCCAUUGCUGACACAUGUGGGAAACAGUACAGAAGGAAAGGCAAGCUAUAUUAGACUUCAGGAUAGUCAAGGAGUCACAUAGCGAGUGGCAAAGCCCUAUAGUGUUGGUACCUAAACAGGAUGGAUCUACCAGUUUCUGCAUAGAUUUCCAGAAGGUCAAUGCCGUGUCCAAAUUAGAUGCCUACCUGAUGCAAAAAGUUGACAAGUUGUUAGAGAGGUUAGGGGAAAUCAGGUAUAUCACUGUUCUUGACCUGACCAGGGAUUACUGUCAGAUCCCCUUAAGCCUGGAGUCCCAAGAAAAGACAGAUUUCUACAUACCAUUUGGCUUGUAUCAGUUUAAGACUAUUGUAGCCAUGCAGUAAUCAUAUGAUAAAGGGGUAAGGAACUGAUAGUAUGACCCCAUGAGACAUACAGGGGAAGACCUAUAAGAAUAGCUUAAGCAGUUAGUUUAAGUAUAAGGCCUUAUUGCCUGAGUAGGAGUUUGCUCAAUAAGUUAGCAUAAGUAAGUAAACUAACAGUGAUCUUAAGUCACAAGAUAGCAUAAGACUUUAUGUUGGAGGGGAAUAUCAGCAGAUGCUCAACCGCAGGUAACCACAGUAAUCCAAUAGAUGUAUAUGUUAAUAAGCUUUGCCUAAUUAAUGUACUAACUAUGGGCUAAUGACACCCCAAUAUUAUGAAGUGAGGAAGUUAAAAUAUGAUAAAAGCUAUGCAUUCAUAUGCAUGAGGGACAUCAAGGCCUAUAAAAUAUCUGGUCUCAGGUACAGCCGUUGGAGUUUUUCAUCAGCAUGCCAGAGUUGGACUAAGAUCUGUCUCAACUACUAGAGCUCUCCCCAGUGAUAGAAUGAGUAUAUAUCUGUAAUGCGUGGGUGAUCCUAACAGUGCUGUAUUAUCUCACUUUUCUUGUUUGGGUUGUUUUACUUGUUGGGCUAAUUGUAAUAAUAAAACGUUUACAGUUACA